GGCAACCUGCCUGUAAGACUGGGAUAACUUCGGGAAACCGGAGCUAAUACCGGAUAAUCCUUUCCCUCUCAUGAGGGAAAGCUGAAAGUCGGUUUCGGCUGACACUUACAGAUGGGCCCGCGGCGCAUUAGCUAGUUGGUGAGGUAACGGCUCACCAAGGCGACGAUGCGUAGCCGACCUGAGAGGGUGAUCGGCCACACUGGGACUGAGACACGGCCCAGACUCCUACGGGAGGCAGCAGUAGGGAAUCUUCCGCAAUGGACGAAAGUCUGACGGAGCAACGCCGCGUGAGCGAUGAAGGCCUUCGGGUCGUAAAGCUCUGUUGUUAGGGAAGAACAAGUAUCGGAGUAACUGCCGGUACCUUGACGGUACCUAACCAGAAAGCCACGGCUAACUACGUGCCAGCAGCCGCGGUAAUACGUAGGUGGCAAGCGUUGUCCGGAAUUAUUGGGCGUAAAGCGCGCGCAGGCGGUCCUUUAAGUCUGAUGUGAAAGCCCACGGCUCAACCGUGGAGGGUCAUUGGAAACUGGGGGACUUGAGUGCAGAAGAGGAAAGCGGAAUUCCACGUGUAGCGGUGAAAUGCGUAGAGAUGUGGA
Molecule: ribosomal RNA, 596 nt
Filed under: Bacillus sp. CRM-Slr-47
Lineage: Bacteria; Bacillati; Bacillota; Bacilli; Caryophanales; Bacillaceae
Description: bacterial SSU rRNA
Rfam family: Bacterial small subunit ribosomal RNA
Source: RNAcentral